This 75-nucleotide transfer RNA is filed under the name Burkholderia mallei. RNAcentral's name for it is "tRNA-Met". Lineage: Bacteria; Pseudomonadati; Pseudomonadota; Betaproteobacteria; Burkholderiales; Burkholderiaceae. The record is from RNAcentral. RNAcentral also lists the same sequence under 1 other name.
GUAGCGGCGGCGGGCGCGCUUCACGCGCGCCGUUCAUGGCGGCGCGUGUCGCCGCGCGCAGGCGCGGUCGCGCCC